RNAcentral lists this ribosomal RNA (465 nucleotides) under Triticum aestivum (bread wheat). RNAcentral's name for it is "partial small subunit ribosomal RNA". Lineage: Eukaryota; Viridiplantae; Streptophyta; Magnoliopsida; Poales; Poaceae. The record is from RNAcentral.
AUGCAGAUCUUUGUGAAAACUCUUACCGGGAAGACCAUAACUCUAGAGGUUGAGAGUUCGGACACCAUUGACAAUGUCAAGGCAAAGAUCCAGGACAAGGAGGGCAUCCCACCAGACCAACAGAGGCUCAUCUUUGCUGGCAAGCAGCUUGAGGAUGGGCGCACAUUGGCUGAUUACAACAUUCAGAAGGAGUCUACCCUUCACCUAGUCCUCCGCCUCCGUGGUGGCAUGCAGAUAUUUGUCAAGACGCUAACUGGAAAGACCAUCACUCUUGAAGUGGAGAGCUCCGACACCAUUGAUAAUGUGAAGGCCAAGAUCCAGGAUAAGGUAGGUAUCCCGCCUGACCAGCAGAGGCUCAUCUUUGCCGGAAAGCAGCUCGAGGAUGGGCGCACUUUGGCUGAUUACAAUAUUCAGAAGGAGUCUACCCUUCACCUGGUCCUACGCCUCCGAGGUGGGUACUUCUGA